UGAGAAUGCCGAAGCUGUUCUUGCUGCAGCGU
Molecule: non-coding RNA, 32 nt
Filed under: Mus musculus (house mouse)
Lineage: Eukaryota; Metazoa; Chordata; Mammalia; Rodentia; Muridae
Source: RNAcentral